AUCCCGUCCACCGAUUGACUAAGGUUUCCAGAGGAAGGCUCGUCCGCUCUGGGUUAGUCGGGUCCUAAGCUGAGGCCGACAGGCGUAGGCGAUGGAUAACAGGUUGAUAUUCCUGUACCACCUAGUAUCGUUUUAAUCGAUGGGGGGACGCAGUAGGAUAGGCGAAGCGUGCUGUUGGAGUGCACGUCCAAGCAGUAAGGCUGAGUGUUAGGCAAAUCCGGCACUCGUUAGGCUGAGCUGUGAUGGGGAGAGGAAAUUGUUUCCUUGAGUCGUUGAUUUCACACUGCCGAGAAAAGCCUCUAGAUAGAUAACAGGUGCCCGUACCGCAAACCGACACAGGUAGUCAAGAUGAGAAUUCUAAGGUGAGCGAGCGAACUCUCGUUAAGGAACUCGGCAAAAUGACCCCGUAACUUCGGGAGAAGGGGUGCUCUUUAGGGUUCACGCCCAGAAGAGCCGCAGUGAAUAGGCCCAAGCGACUGUUUAUCAAAAACACAGGUCUCUGCUAAACCGUAAGGUGAUGUAUAGGGGCUGACGCCUGCCCGGUGCUGGAAGGUUAAGAGGAGUGGUUAGCUUCUGCGAAGCCACGAAUCGAAGCCCCAGUAAACGGCGGCCGUAACUAUAACGGUCCUAAGGUAGCGAAAUUCCUUGUCGGGUAAGUUCCGACCCGCACGAAAGGCGUAACGAUUUGGGCACUGUCUCAACGAGAGACUCGGUGAAAUCAUAGUACCUGUGAAGAUGCAGGUUACCCGCGACAGGACGGAAAGACCCCGUGGAGCUUUACUGUAGCCUGAUAUUGAAAUUCGGCACAGCUUGUACAGGAUAGGUAGGAGCCAUUGAAACGUGAGCGCUAGCUUACGUGGAGGCGUUGGUGGGAUACUACCCUAGCUGUGUUGGCUUUCUAACCCGCACCACUUAUCGUGGUGGGAGACAGUGUCAGGCGGGCAGUUUGACUGGGGCGGUCGCCUCCUAAAAGGUAACGGAGGCGCUCAAAGGUUCCCUCAGAAUGGUUGGAAAUCAUUCACAGAGUGUAAAGGCAUAAGGGAGCUUGACUGCGAGACCUACAAGUCGAGCAGGGUCGAAAGACGGACUUAGUGAUCCGGUGGUUCCGCAUGGAAGGGCCAUCGCUCAACGGAUAAAAGCUACCCCGGGGAUAACAGGCUUAUCUCCCCCAAGAGUUCACAUCGACGGGGAGGUUUGGCACCUCGAUGUCGGCUCAUCGCAUCC
RNAcentral lists this ribosomal RNA (1224 nucleotides) under Staphylococcus capitis. RNAcentral describes it as "partial 23S ribosomal RNA". It matches the Rfam family "Bacterial large subunit ribosomal RNA", at positions 1327 to 2547 of the family's 2925-position model. Lineage: Bacteria; Bacillati; Bacillota; Bacilli; Caryophanales; Staphylococcaceae. The record is from RNAcentral.